Long non-coding RNA from Anguilla anguilla (European eel), 967 nucleotides. RefSeq lists it as uncharacterized. The transcript has 2 exons. The record is from RefSeq and is a predicted model, not a curated record. Lineage: Eukaryota; Metazoa; Chordata; Actinopteri; Anguilliformes; Anguillidae.
ACUUUUAAUAAGGAAAAAUACACUUUCUUUAUGUGCAGAAAGAUAAGUUGAUAGAAGGAUUAGACAACCAAUGCGGAUAAUGAUACUUGUUGUACAUUUGUUGAUUGGUCAUGUCAGAUGACAAGCCCGCCCUAACUUCCUCUGGUCAAGAUGGCUUAAGCGACAGCAGACAUGCGAAAAUUUCUCUGAACAGAUUAAGCUAAUUCGAAGUGAAUUACAAGUGAAUUUAGGAUACAAUUGCAGAUAUUUUAUUGAGGAGUGACAGUAACUUGAAAAGAAACAGAUUUAUAAAGAAAUAACGAAGAUUUGCAACGUUCUUCUAUCGCCCUCUGUGACGACCGCGUGAAAGAAAAAUUUUCUGCAUUCGCCAUUAAGAUCGUUGAAAACCGAACUUUGUACAACUUUGAACAUAUUCCUUGGCCGGGUUUUUUUUUUUGUUGUUGGAUUUGAACUGCUGUGCUGGAUCCUGGAUUCGUCCGCCCUGCUUGCCUUCCCUGGAGAGCUACAGCGGCGCGCGGACUGGCGAGCCACCCAUGUGAUCGACCUGAAAUCUUAAAGAGAAGGAAAGAGUUCAAUUGUGCUUUCUAAGAUGGUGGUAGGACAAGAGUUUGAAUUCUACAAACUGGAACUCAGCAACAAGUGGUCCAACAACCACACGGACUAAACUGAUUUGCACAGAUAGUGUUUUAGAAAAGUGUUUUGGUGUUAUAGUGUGAUAAGUUUCCUUUGCAUAGGUACUUUCAGUAGUACUACAUAAGGGUCUUGGUUUCAAAAUAAAAGUCCUAAAAUCUAAUUAGUGACAAAUCAUACUAGAACCAAAUAACUAAUAAUAGGGAUUAACUGAAACAUCAAAGAAAUACUAAAAGUAUGGUUAAGGUAUAAAGAUAGGAAAAAUAGUCAAAUUAGUGGAACCAGAGAAAAUAUAAAUACAGACACAAAGUAAAAGGGCUUGGGACCAACUUGUAUU